This 339-nucleotide ribosomal RNA is filed under the name Triticum aestivum (bread wheat). RNAcentral describes it as "partial small subunit ribosomal RNA". Lineage: Eukaryota; Viridiplantae; Streptophyta; Magnoliopsida; Poales; Poaceae. The record is from RNAcentral.
AUGGGCGUCGUGUCCGUCUACGCGCCGCCGGCCCUCAACCGCCACCUCACCUUCCCCGCCUUCUCCUACGGCGUGACGGUCAUCAUCGUCACGGACGCCACGGUCGGCACCGCCCUGUGCGCACUCCACGUCACCGUCAUGGGGGCCACCCCCUCCGUCCUAGCACUGUGGCUGGCGCACCGCACGGGCGCCACCGAGUCGGUGCUGGUCACGUCGGUCGUGGUGGCGCUGAGCACGUCCGCGGUGGCGCUGCCAGAGUCGCCGGGCACCGUGGCGAAGCGGAUCUGGGGCAAAUCAUCAUCAUCUACGUGGCCAAGUUCAGGCGAGGGGACCACAUGA